Molecule: ribosomal RNA, 116 nt
Filed under: Xanthobacteraceae bacterium
Lineage: Bacteria; Pseudomonadati; Pseudomonadota; Alphaproteobacteria; Hyphomicrobiales; Xanthobacteraceae
Source: RNAcentral
CCUGGUGGUUUUUGCGAGGAGCCAAGAACCCGUUCCCAUUCCGAACACGGCCGUUAAAUUCCUCAGCGCCAAUGGUACUAAGUCUCAAGGCUUGGGAGAGUAGGUCGCUGCCAGGC